RNAcentral lists this long non-coding RNA (1069 nucleotides) under Strigops habroptila (Kakapo). RNAcentral's name for it is "lncRNA (ENSSHBG00005008185.1)". The record is from RNAcentral. Lineage: Eukaryota; Metazoa; Chordata; Aves; Psittaciformes; Psittacidae.
UUUAGCAUGAAAUAAUUCUUUAUUGUAGGAGUCAACUCUCCUUUCAAAUAUGUCACCAAAGGAUGCUGGCAGUUGAGAAAUUAUCAAUAUUGAAUCUGCCCAGCAGGUAAAGCUGCACCCUCUCAUUGAAAAACAUCCUUUAGUGCCAAUGAUGUUGUUACAGAGCUACGCCGGGUAACAGUUACAAACUAACACAGCUUGGGAAUACAAAAGAACCGCACUGCUUUGAAGAAAAAAAAAAAAAAAAUCAAAAUACAUACAAACAAAAGUUCCUUUUAAUUUAUCUUUCCAUCAGUACUCUUAUGGUAAUUUGAAACAGACAAUGUUCAGCUGAUCAGUUAAAUUGAAUAAUAAAGGCUAUUAUUCAGAGAUUCAUAGUGAACGAUAUGGCAGCUCAUUAAGACCUAAAUAUUCCAAAGUCUAUUGGAAUAUGCUUUCAAGUCUAUUCUCUUCAGCUUCAUAGCAUUUUGUUUCUCCUGUUUCUCAGUUAAUUUCUGUGUACCUAUCAUAGUCCUUGCCAGCUCUGAGACUAUGUUUCUUGAAAUCAAGUGGCAUCUGUAGGAUGUAAUUUAUGAAAAGAACAGACUGAAGCAUCCUGAAACACAACAGAAGGUUCAAGAAAAUGUAACAAAAUUAACAUUUCAAACUCAGAUUCAGAAAACAUAGGAUAAAAUCUAUUUCUAGGCAAGCUGUAGGAUGGAAACAUAAAAAGGUCUAAAAAAACCCCAAACAAAACAUAAGAAACUACUCUCUUCGAAAAGCAAUUGAGAGUGAAAAUAUUAAUGGCUUUCACAAAAACAAGUGUGCAUUUAUCAUCUCUGACAGCCUGCCUUUUGUUAUGUUCUUGGUAUUAGUUUCCUCUGAGCUUUCUACAUUGGACUUAGUCACGUCAAAAAAGCUUUUGGAACGUAUCUGGAGACAAAUACUGUUAAAGAGUUUGCAAUAGAAAGCAAUAUUUGUUCACAUCCCACCUUGUUGCUCCUAUCAUAAUAGGCAUCUCCUAUGUAACUCUCCCAAAAGUCAAAGUUGGGUUCAAGUUUCAGAAGGCUAAAAAAAAAAAUAAAAGAAA